UACGAAGGGGGCUAGCGUUGCUCGGAAUCACUGGGCGUAAAGGGUGCGUAGGCGGGUCUUUAAGUCAGGGGUGAAAUCCUGGAGCUCAACUCCAGAACUGCCUUUGAUACUGAGGAUCUCGAGUUCGGGAGAGGUGAGUGGAACUGCGAGUGUAGAGGUGAAAUUCGUAGAUAUUCGCAAGAACACCAGUGGCGAAGGCGGCUCACUGGCCAGAUACUGACGCUGAGGUGCGAAAGCGUGGGGAGCAAACAGG
RNAcentral lists this ribosomal RNA (253 nucleotides) under uncultured bacterium. Its description in RNAcentral is "partial 16S ribosomal RNA". It matches the Rfam family "Bacterial small subunit ribosomal RNA", at positions 524 to 776 of the family's 1533-position model. The record is from RNAcentral.